UAGAAGAACUGAUGUGCUCUGACCUGCAACA
RNAcentral lists this non-coding RNA (31 nucleotides) under Homo sapiens (human). Lineage: Eukaryota; Metazoa; Chordata; Mammalia; Primates; Hominidae. The record is from RNAcentral.